This is a non-coding RNA of Tulasnella sp. 424, 81 nucleotides long. NCBI's taxonomy places the organism in Eukaryota, Fungi, Basidiomycota, Agaricomycetes, Cantharellales, Tulasnellaceae. The record is from the annotation of a GenBank genome assembly.
AGGCCCGUAGCUUAAUUGCUAAAGCGUCAUGUUUACUCGAACUUCACAUCGUCUAUGCAGGUUCAAAUCCUGCCGGGUCUA